Molecule: ribosomal RNA, 287 nt
Filed under: uncultured bacterium
Lineage: Bacteria
Description: partial 16S ribosomal RNA
Rfam family: Bacterial small subunit ribosomal RNA
Source: RNAcentral
UACGUAGGGGUGCAAGCGUUAUCCGGAAUUAUUGGGCGUAAAAGCGAUCACAGGUGGACAAGCAGGUCUGGUGUUAAAUAACCCACCGGCUACAACCGGGGAUGCUGCCAUCGGAAACCGCUUGACUAGAGGGAAGACAAAGGCAGGUGGAAAUUUCCAUGUAGGGGUUAAAUCCGUAGAUAAUGGAAGGAACACCAAAAGCGAAGGCAGCCUGCUGGGUCUUUCCUGACACUGCUUGAUCGAAAGCGUGGGGAGCGAAAGGGGAUUAAGAAACCCAGGAUACGUCC